CCUACGGGAGGCAGCAGUAGGGAAUCUUCCACAAUGGGCGAAAGCCUGAUGGAGCAACGCCGCGUGGGUGAAGAAGGUCUUCGGAUCGUAAAACCCUGUUGUUAGAGAAGAAAGUGCGUGAGAGUAACUGUUCACGUUUCGACGGUAUCUAACCAGAAAGCCACGGCUAACUACGUGCCAGCAGCCGCGGUAAUACGUAGGUGGCAAGCUUUAUCCGGAUUUAUUGGGCGUAAAGGGCACGCAGGCGGUCUUUUAAGUCUGAUGUGAAAGCCUUCGGCUUAACCGGAUUAGUGCAUUGGAAACUGGGAGACUGGAGUGCAGAAGAGGAGAGUGGAACUCCAUGUGUAGCGGUGAAAUGCGUAGAUAUAAGGAAGAACACCAGUGGCGAAAGCGGCUCUCUGGUCUGUAACUGACGCUGAGGUUCGAAAGCGUGGGUAGCAAACAGGAUUAGAUACCCGUGUAGUC
RNAcentral lists this ribosomal RNA (465 nucleotides) under uncultured bacterium. RNAcentral's name for it is "partial 16S ribosomal RNA". It matches the Rfam family "Bacterial small subunit ribosomal RNA", at positions 338 to 795 of the family's 1533-position model. The record is from RNAcentral.